AUGGCCUUCGAACAGGGUUACAAUAGUCAGUGGCUUGGUGAUUUUCAUUUCCAAAGAACAAAAACAGGGACGGUCGCGGCGGUGCAAUCCGCGGGGACGGACGGUGGCGCCGCCCGCACCUUCACAUGGAGACAACGAGGGGUGGCCAGGCCUGCGGCCGUCGCCGCGCAGCGUCGCUGUAGGACGCCCGUGCUGCUGCGCCCAGCCGGGAGAGCGAUCAAUUCUGAAACUGUAAAAACUGAAAUACUACCCUGCAAGCGUAUCUCCAAAAGAAGAAUAAACAAGUGCACAUGCACUGUAACAGAGUGCAAAGAGCUACACCUACCUACUUAG
This 333-nucleotide ribosomal RNA is filed under the name Triticum aestivum (bread wheat). RNAcentral describes it as "partial small subunit ribosomal RNA". The record is from RNAcentral. Lineage: Eukaryota; Viridiplantae; Streptophyta; Magnoliopsida; Poales; Poaceae.